Molecule: ribosomal RNA, 497 nt
Filed under: uncultured bacterium
Lineage: Bacteria
Description: partial 16S ribosomal RNA
Rfam family: Bacterial small subunit ribosomal RNA
Source: RNAcentral
GAUGAACGCUGGCGGCGUGCCUAAUACAUGCAAGUCGAGCGAACGGACGAGAAGCUUGCUUCUCUGAUGUUAGCGGCGGACGGGUGAGUAACACGUGGAUAACCUACCUAUAAGACUGGGAUAACUUCGGGAAACCGGAGCUAAUACCGGAUAAUAUUUUGAACCGCAUGGUUCAAAAGUGAAAGACGGUCUUGCUGUCACUUAUAGAUGGAUCCGCGCUGCAUUAGCUAGUUGGUAAGGUAACGGCUUACCAAGGCAACGAUGCAUAGCCGACCUGAGAGGGUGAUCGGCCACACUGGAACUGAGACACGGUCCAGACUCCUACGGGAGGCAGCAGUAGGGAAUCUUCCGCAAUGGGCGAAAGCCUGGCGGAGCAACGCCGCGUGAGUGAUGAAGGUCUUCGGAUCGUAAAACUCUAUUAUUAGGGAAGAACAUAUGUGUAAGUAACUGUGCACAUCUUGACGGUACCUAAUCAGAAAGCCACGGCUAACUACGUG